AAAUAGAUACCCGAGGUAGUCCACGCCCUAAACGAUGUCAACUAGUUGUCGGGGGAUUAAUUUCCGUUGGUAACGCAGCUAACGCGUGAAGUUGACCGCCUGGGGAGUACGGUCGCAAGAUUAAAACUCAAAGGAAUUGACGGGGGACCCGCACAAGCGGUGGAUGAUGUGGAUUAAUUCGAUGCAACGCGAAAAACCUUACCUACCCUUGACAUGGUCGGAACCUUGGAGAGAUCUGAGGGUGCUCGAAAGAGAACCGGCGCACAGGUGCUGCAUGGCUGUCGUCAGCUCGUGUCGUGAGAUGUUGGGUUAAGUCCCGCAACGAGCGCAACCCUUGUCAUUAGUUGCUAUGAAAGGGCACUCUAAUGAGACUGCCGGUGACAAACCGGAGGAAGGUGGGGAUGACGUCAAGUCCUCAUGGCCCUUAUGGGUAGGGCUUCACACGUCAUACAAUGGUACAUACAGAGGGCUGCCAACCCGCGAGGGGGAGCUAAUCCCAGAAAGUGUAUCGUAGUCCGGAUUGGAGUCUGCAACUCGACU
RNAcentral lists this ribosomal RNA (540 nucleotides) under uncultured bacterium. RNAcentral's name for it is "bacterial SSU rRNA". It matches the Rfam family "Bacterial small subunit ribosomal RNA", at positions 776 to 1317 of the family's 1533-position model. The record is from RNAcentral.